This 431-nucleotide ribosomal RNA is filed under the name uncultured Mycoplasmatales bacterium. Its description in RNAcentral is "bacterial SSU rRNA". It matches the Rfam family "Bacterial small subunit ribosomal RNA", at positions 917 to 1370 of the family's 1533-position model. Lineage: Bacteria; Bacillati; Mycoplasmatota; Mollicutes; Mycoplasmatales. The record is from RNAcentral.
GGACCUGCACAAAUGGUGGAGCAUGUUGUUUAAUUCGUCAGUACACGUAAACCUUACCAGGGAUUGAACGUCAGCAAAGUGUUAGAAAUAACAUGGAGGUUAACUGAUAGUCAGGUGAUGCAUGGUUGUUGUAAGCUCGUGUCGUGAGAUGUUGGAUUAAGUCCCGCAACGAGCGCAACCCCUUUUGUUUGUUACUUUAUCAAACAAUACUGCCUACGCAAGUAGGAGGAAGGUGGGGACGACGUCAAAUCAUCAUGUCCUUUAUAUCCUGGGCCACAAACGUGCUACAAUGGUUGGUACAAAGAGUCGCAAUACAGUAAUGUAGAGCUAAUCUGUAAAAGCCAAUCUCAGUUCGGAUUGAGGGUUGCAAUUCACCCUCAUGAAGUUGGAAUCAUUAGUAAUCGCGAAUCAUACAUGUCGCGGUGAAUACG